AACAGGGAGAAUAAAAAGAAGAGCAGAAGAGUCAGGUUUAAAGAAGGGAGUGGAGCAAGUGUAGCUCCUACUAAGGAGGAGAAGAGGAUCUGGAUAUCCAGGAUCUGGAUACAGCUGAGACGG
Molecule: long non-coding RNA, 123 nt
Organism: Eurytemora carolleeae
Lineage: Eukaryota; Metazoa; Arthropoda; Copepoda; Calanoida; Temoridae
Exons: 2
Source: RefSeq, a predicted model, not a curated record